CCAUGCAUGUCUCAGUGCAAGCUACAUUAAAGUGAAACCGCGAAUGGCUCAUUAAAUCAGUUAUGGUUCCUUAGAUCGUACGACAGUUACUUGGAUAACUGUGGUAAUUCUAGAGCUAAUACAUGCAAACAGAGUCCCGACCAGAAAUGGAAGGGACGCUUUUAUUAGAUCAAAACCAAUCGGUCCGCUCGUUCGGUCCGUUUGCCUUGGUGACUCUGAAUAACUUUGGGCUGAUCGCACGGUCUCUGUACCGGCGACGCAUCUUUCAAAUGUCUGCCUUAUCAACUGUCGAUGGUAGGUUCUGCGCCUACCAUGGUUGUAACGGGUAACGGGGAAUCAGGGUUCGAUUCCGGAGAGGGAGCCUGAGAAACGGCUACCACAUCCAAGGAAGGCAGCAGGCGCGCAAAUUACCCACUCCCGGCACGGGGAGGUAGUGACGAAAAAUAACGAUACGGGACUCAUCCGAGGCCCCGUAAUCGGAAUGAGUACACUUUAAAUCCUUUAACGAGUAUCCAUUGGAGGGCAAGUCUGGUGCCAGCAGCCGCGGUAAUUCCAGCUCCAAUAGCGUAUAUUAAAGUUGUUGCGGUUAAAAAGCUCGUAGUUGGACUUGUGUCCCACGCUGUCGGUUCACCGCCCGUCGGUGUUUAACUGACAUGUAUUGUGGGACGUCCUGCCGGUGGUGGCGAGUCGAAAGCGCGCGGCUCCCGUGGUUCGCCGCGGGUCGACGUGCGUCUGGAGACGGACCCCGAUGAAAUCCUACCGUGGUGCUCUUAACCGAGUGUCGAGGUGGGCCGGCACGUUUACUUUGAACAAAUUAGAGUGCUUAAAGCAGGCCUGAUGCGCCUGAAUACUGAGUGCAUGGAAUAAUGGAAUAGGACCUCGGUUCUAUUUUGUUGGUUUUCGGAACCCGAGGUAAUGAUUAAUAGGGACAGUCGGGGGCAUUCGUAUUGCGACGUUAGAGGUGAAA
This 967-nucleotide ribosomal RNA is filed under the name Hypocophus sp. MCJ-2002. Its description in RNAcentral is "SSU rRNA". It matches the Rfam family "Eukaryotic small subunit ribosomal RNA", at positions 49 to 916 of the family's 1831-position model. The record is from RNAcentral. Lineage: Eukaryota; Metazoa; Arthropoda; Insecta; Orthoptera; Anostostomatidae.